This is a non-coding RNA of Vicugna pacos (alpaca), 908 nucleotides long. Lineage: Eukaryota; Metazoa; Chordata; Mammalia; Artiodactyla; Camelidae. The record is from RefSeq and is a predicted model, not a curated record.
GCAUUUGAGCACUGCCCACUCAGCUGUGCUCUCCACUGCCCGCAUUUCCUAGGUCAGUCUUCAGGAGGAAAGCAGUCAGAGCCAAAGGACGACUACAAACCAUAGGACCUGCACAAGCUGAAAGAGAAGGAAACUGGUGUGUCCUAAAAGUCUCCUGGAUGCUGGGGAAGGAGGUGAUCAACAAACAAGACAGCAGGGAAGACUGCGAACUAGAGAGGCAAUGAUUGGAAGAUUAUCUGUGGGUAACCCAGCACUAUCUACCUUCCAAGAUCUCUUCGUCACAAGGGCUAGAAGACAAUGAACUACAUUUCUUAGAAGUCCUGCCGGCAGAGUUUUGUGUUAUGAUGCCCUUGAGAGACACUCCUAUGAGCCUUGGAAGGUGGGAGAGAAGCAGAAACCAUACUAUCAUUCCUGUGCCACUGGCAGGCAUGUAGUGUGCUUUGGCAGACCACAGAUUAAAGAUGUUUCCAGAGCUGCUGGUUAAAGACACAAGACAACUAAAAGCAAUGUCUGACCCUGGCUUGGAUCCUGUAUUGGAGGGGAAGAUGUUGUAAAAAAAAUCAUUAUUGGGGCAAUUGAAUAAGGACAAUCUCUUGGAUAAAACUGCUCUAUCUGUUAAAUUUAUUGAAGUCGAGUUACAGUUCUGAAAGGGAAUAUUCUUGUUCUUAGGAAAUGCACAGUGAAAUAUAUAGGAAUAAAGUGGUCCUGGGAUAAAGGGCCAUACUGUAUACAGUUUAAUGUUGGUAAUAUAAAGUAUAUAAAGAGAGUGAGACAAUGAAUACAAAACAAAGGGGGCAAAGUGUUAAAAAUAGAUUAACUUGAGUAAAUGGUAUAAGAAGUGUUCUUUGUAUUGUUUUUGUGUUUUUGCAACUUUUUUGUAAAUUUGAAAUUAUUUCCAAACCAGAAAA